UACGGGAAGGCAGCAGUGGGGAAUAUUGCACAAUGGGCGCAAGCCUGAUGCAGCCAUGCCGCGUGUAUGAAGAAGGCCUUCGGGUUGUAAAGUACUUUCAGCGGGGAGGAAGGCGAUGCGGUUAAUAACCGCGUCGAUUGACGUUACCCGCAGAAGAAGCACCGGCUAACUCCGUGCCAGCAGCCGCGGUAAUACGGAGGGUGCAAGCGUUAAUCGGAAUUACUGGGCGUAAAGCGCACGCAGGCGGUCUGUUAAGUCAGAUGUGAAAUCCCCGGGCUUAACCUGGGAACUGCAUUUUGAAACUGGCAGGCUUGAGUCUUGUAGAGGGGGUAGAAUUCCAGGUGUAGCGGUGAAAUGCGUAGAGAUCUGGAGGAAUACCGGUGGCGAAGGCGGCCCCUGGGCAAAGGCUGACGCGUCAGGUGCGAAAGCGUGGGGAGCAAACAGGGAUUAGAUACCCGU
RNAcentral lists this ribosomal RNA (459 nucleotides) under uncultured bacterium. RNAcentral's name for it is "bacterial SSU rRNA". It matches the Rfam family "Bacterial small subunit ribosomal RNA", at positions 340 to 789 of the family's 1533-position model. The record is from RNAcentral.